This 219-nucleotide ribosomal RNA is filed under the name uncultured Staphylococcus sp. RNAcentral describes it as "partial 16S ribosomal RNA". It matches the Rfam family "Bacterial small subunit ribosomal RNA", at positions 143 to 354 of the family's 1533-position model. The record is from RNAcentral. Lineage: Bacteria; Bacillati; Bacillota; Bacilli; Caryophanales; Staphylococcaceae.
AUAACUUCGGGAAACCGGAGCUAAUACCGGAUAAUAUAUUGAACCGCAUGGUUCAAUAGUGAAAGACGGUUUUGCUGACACUUAUAGAUGGAUCCGCGCUGCAUUAGCUAGUUGGUAAGGUAACGGCUUACCAAGGCAACGAUGCGUAGCCGACCUGAGAGGGUGAUCGGCCACACUGGAACUGAGACACGGUCCAGACUCCUACGGGAGGCAGCAGGC